CUUGAUUACUAGGCGCACCCUCCAGGAAGUGAGACGAAUCCAAGAUCAGAUGUUUUCAGUUGUCAGAGGACCAGAGGUCCAAAUAACACCUGAACAAUGUGAAACUAACAAAUUUUUGCUAAUGAGCACAAGAAUGUGAAAAUCAGCUUGUUCUUGUCAAAAGAAUUCAUCCACUUGGUUUCUUUCAUGAUGAUCAGGUCAGGAAAAGCCAUCUGCUUUCUUCCACAGAUACUGAUCUGGCAUCAUUUUGCAGUCACAAAAACGGCAGCAAAGCUUCCUGCAACACUUUCUUCAUAUUGAGUUGUAUUCUUUGGACAAAGAAAUUGAAACAGUGGAAGAAUAAGAAUGGCAAACUCAUCUGUCGGUGCCUCAGUCAUUCAGGCUAUCUUGAUUUUUUUGUUGAGUAUCAACUUUGGGUAUAGUUAGACAUGAGGACAUGAGGACAUAGUGGUCCUUACAAGGGCGUUGUCCCCCAGUUCCACCAGUGAAGUUUGUGGUCAG
RNAcentral lists this long non-coding RNA (501 nucleotides) under Rattus norvegicus (Norway rat). RNAcentral's name for it is "long non-coding RNA NONRATT033790". Lineage: Eukaryota; Metazoa; Chordata; Mammalia; Rodentia; Muridae. The record is from RNAcentral.